UACGUAGGUGGCGAGCGUUGUCCGGAUUUACUGGGCGUAAAGGGAGCGUAGGCGGACUUUUAAGUGAGAUGUGAAAUACUCGGGCUCAACUUGAGUGCUGCAUUUCAAACUGGAAGACUAGAGUGCAGGAGAGGAGAAUGGAAUUCCUAGUGUAGCGGUGAAAUGCGUAGAGAUUAGGAAGAACACCAGUGGCGAAGGCGAUUCUCUGGACUGUAACUGACGCUGAGGCUCGAAAGCGUGGGGAGCAAACAGG
Molecule: ribosomal RNA, 253 nt
Filed under: uncultured bacterium
Lineage: Bacteria
Description: partial 16S ribosomal RNA
Rfam family: Bacterial small subunit ribosomal RNA
Source: RNAcentral